RNAcentral lists this ribosomal RNA (1372 nucleotides) under uncultured bacterium. Its description in RNAcentral is "bacterial SSU rRNA". It matches the Rfam family "Bacterial small subunit ribosomal RNA", at positions 28 to 1381 of the family's 1533-position model. The record is from RNAcentral.
GAUGAACGCUGGCGGCGUGCCUAAUACAUGCAAGUCGAGCGAACGGACGAGAAGCUUGCUUCUCUGAUGUUAGCGGCGGACGGGUGAGUAACACGUGGAUAACCUACCUAUAAGACUGGGAUAACUUCGGGAAACCGGAGCUAAUACCGGAUAAUAUUUUGAACCGCAUGGUUCAAAAGUGAAAGACGGUCUUGCUGUCACUUAUAGAUGGAUCCGCGCUGCAUUAGCUAGUUGGUAAGGUAACGGCUUACCAAGGCAACGAUGCAUAGCCGACCUGAGAGGGUGAUCGGCCACACUGGAACUGAGACACGGUCCAGACUCCUACGGGAGGCCGCAGUAGGGAAUCUUCCGCAAUGGGCGAAAGCCUGACGGAGCAACGCCGCGUGAGUGAUGAAGGUCUUCGGAUCGUAAAACUCUGUUAUUAGGGAAGAACAUAUGUGUAAGUAACUGUGCACAUCUUGACGGUACCUAAUCAGAAAGCCACGGCUAACUACGUGCCAGCAGCCGCGGUAAUACGUAGGUGGCAAGCGUUAUCCGGAAUUAUUGGGCGUAAAGCGCGCGUAGGCGGUUUUUUAAGUCUGAUGUGAAAGCCCACGGCUCAACCGUGGAGGGUCAUUGGAAACUGGAAAACUUGAGUGCAGAAGAGGAAAGUGGAAUUCCAUGUGUAGCGGUGAAAUGCGCAGAGAUAUGGAGGAACACCAGUGGCGAAGGCGACUUUCUGGUCUGUAACUGACGCUGAUGUGCGAAAGCGUGGGGAUCAAACAGGAUUAGAUACCCUGGUAGUCCACGCCGUAAACGAUGAGUGCUAAGUGUUAGGGGGUUUCCGCCCCUUAGUGCUGCAGCUAACGCAUUAAGCACUCCGCCUGGGGAGUACGACCGCAAGGUUGAAACUCAAAGGAAUUGACGGGGACCCGCACAAGCGGUGGAGCAUGUGGUUUAAUUCGAAGCAACGCGAAGAACCUUACCAAAUCUUGACAUCCUUUGACAACUCUAGAGAUAGAGCCUUCCCCUUCGGGGGACAAAGUGACAGGUGGUGCAUGGUUGUCGUCAGCUCGUGUCGUGAGAUGUUGGGUUAAGUCCCGCAACGAGCGCAACCCUUAAGCUUAGUUGCCAUCAUUAAGUUGGGCACUCUAAGUUGACUGCCGGUGACAAACCGGAGGAAGGUGGGGAUGACGUCAAAUCAUCAUGCCCCUUAUGAUUUGGGCUACACACGUGCUACAAUGGACAAUACAAAGGGCAGCGAAACCGCGAGGUCAAGCAAAUCCCAUAAAGUUGUUCUCAGUUCGGAUUGUAGUCUGCAACUCGACUACAUGAAGCUGGAAUCGCUAGUAAUCGUAGAUCAGCAUGCUACGGUGAAUACGUUCCCGGGUCU